RNAcentral lists this ribosomal RNA (600 nucleotides) under uncultured bacterium. RNAcentral describes it as "bacterial SSU rRNA". It matches the Rfam family "Bacterial small subunit ribosomal RNA", at positions 788 to 1393 of the family's 1533-position model. The record is from RNAcentral.
CGGUAGUCCACGCCGUAAACGAUGGAUACUAGCUGUGGGGACUUCGGUCUCCGUGGCCAAGCGAAAGUGAUAAGUAUCCCACCUGGGGAGUAUGUUCGCAAGAAUGAAACUCAAAGGAAUUGACGGGGGCCCGCACAAGCGGUGGAGCAUGUGGUUUAAUUCGAUGAUACGCGAGGAACCUUACCAGGGCUUAAAUGCAGGCUGCAUGGGGUAGAGAUACCCCUUUCUUCGGACUGCCUGCAAGGUUCUGCAUGGUUGUCGUCAGCUCGUGCCGUGAGGUGUCAGGUUAAGUCCUAUAACGAGCGCAACCCCUACCGUUAGUUGCCAGCAUGUCAAGAUGGGGACUCUAACGGGACUGCCGGUGCAAACCGUGAGGAAGGUGGGGACGACGUCAAAUCAUCACGGCCCUUACGUCCUGGGCUACACACGUGCUACAAUGGCCGGUACAGAGGGAAGCCACCCCGCAAGGGGGCGCGGAUCUACAAAACCGGUCACAGUUCGGAUCGGGGUCUGCAACUCGACCCCGUGAAGCUGGAAUCGCUAGUAAUCGGAUAUCAGCCAUGAUCCGGUGAAUACGUUCCCGGGCCUUGUACACUCCGC